Molecule: ribosomal RNA, 254 nt
Filed under: uncultured prokaryote
Description: partial 16S ribosomal RNA
Rfam family: Bacterial small subunit ribosomal RNA
Source: RNAcentral
UACGGGGGGAGCAAGCGUUGUUCGGAUUUACUGGGCGUAAAGGGCGCGUAGGCGGUCAGUGCAAGUCAGUUGUGAAAUCUCCGGGCUUAACUCGGAACGGUCAACUGAUACUGCUCGACUAGAGUGCGGAAGGGGCAACUGGAAUUCUUGGUGUAGCGGUGAAAUGCGUAGAUAUCAAGUGGAACACCAGUGGCGAAGGCGAGUCUCCGGACAUUUCCUGACGCUGAGGCACGAAAGCCAGGGGAGCAAACGGG